This 437-nucleotide ribosomal RNA is filed under the name uncultured Streptococcus sp. Its description in RNAcentral is "bacterial SSU rRNA". It matches the Rfam family "Bacterial small subunit ribosomal RNA", at positions 943 to 1382 of the family's 1533-position model. The record is from RNAcentral. Lineage: Bacteria; Bacillati; Bacillota; Bacilli; Lactobacillales; Streptococcaceae.
GGUUAAUUCGAAGCAACGCGAAGAACCUUACCAGGUCUUGACAUCCCGAUGCUAUUCUAGAGAUAGAAAGUUACUUCGGUACAUCGGUGACAGGUGGUGGCAUGGUUGUCGUCAGCUCGUGUCGUGAGAUGUUGGGUUAAGUCCCGCAACGAGCGCAACCCCUAUUGUUAGUUGCCAUCAUUCAGUUGGGCACUCUAGCGAGACUGCCGGUAAUAAACCGGAGGAAGGUGGGGAUGACGUCAAAUCAUCAUGCCCCUUAUGACCUGGGCUACACACGUGCUACAAUGGUUGGUACAACGAGUUGCGAGUCGGUGACGGCGAGCUAAUCUCUUAAAGCCAAUCUCAGUUCGGAUUGUAGGCUGCGACUCGCCUACAUGAAGUCGGAAUCGCUAGUAAUCGCGGAUCAGCACGCCGCGGUGAAUACGUUCCCGGGCCUU